Pangasianodon hypophthalmus (striped catfish) is the source of this 441-nucleotide long non-coding RNA. RefSeq lists it as uncharacterized. The record is from RefSeq and is a predicted model, not a curated record. The transcript has 3 exons. Lineage: Eukaryota; Metazoa; Chordata; Actinopteri; Siluriformes; Pangasiidae.
AGGUCAAGAGUUCCGCCCAGGCAUGACUGAAAUAUCAGCACAAUAACAUGGGAGGAACCUGAGGAGACUCUGGAGUGCAUCGUUGUGUUUGUUCCCACGUUCCCUCCCUCCACUUCCUGUCACCCACUCCUGACACAGGAAAUGCUUAGCCAGGGACGCUGGAGGAAAGCAUUACAUACUGUUAGCCAAAAGCUACAAGGAAAAGCUCUGGCUGGAUCUUCCAUACUGACUGAGCACAAUGAGCAGCUGCGUCAGGAUCAGAGCCGUGCUUAAGCUGGGCACAGUGCUCCGGAAAUUCAGCAGCUGCUCCAGGGUUUGGUCUGCAUCUUUCUCCUUCAGUCGGCUGGCAAGCACACUGAGAGCACUCUUUAACAGCGGCCUCUGUUCCAGCUGGGAGAAGCCAGACCUGAAAACAUAUCACAACCUCACACACUGCAUCAG